RNAcentral lists this ribosomal RNA (429 nucleotides) under bacterium. RNAcentral's name for it is "partial 16S ribosomal RNA". It matches the Rfam family "Bacterial small subunit ribosomal RNA", at positions 355 to 776 of the family's 1533-position model. The record is from RNAcentral.
UAGGGAAUCUUCCACAAUGGACGCAAGUCUGAUGGAGCAACGCCGCGUGAGUGAAGAAGGUUUUCGGAUCGUAAAGCUCUGUUGUUGGUGAAGAAGGAUAGAGGCAGUAACUGGUCUUUAUUUGACGGUAAUCAACCAGAAAGUCACGGCUAACUACGUGCCAGCAGCCGCGGUAAUACGUAGGUGGCAAGCGUUGUCCGGAUUUAUUGGGCGUAAAGCGAGCGCAGGCGGAAUGAUAAGUCUGAUGUGAAAGCCCACGGCUCAACCGUGCAACUGCAUCGGAAACUGUCAUUCUUGAGUGCAGAAGAGGAGAGUGGAAUUCCAUGUGUAGCGGUGGAAUGCGUAGAUAUAUGGAAGAACACCAGUGGCGAAGGCGGCUCUCUGGUCUGCAACUGACGCUGAGGCUCGAAAGCAUGGGUAGCGAACAGG